GAUGAAGAACGUAGCGAAAUGCGAUAAGUAAUGUGAAUUGCAGAAUCCAGUGAAUCAUCGAAUCUUUGAACGCACAUUGCGCCCGCCAGCAUUCUGGCGGGCAUGCCUGUUCGAGCGUCAUUUCAACCCUCGACCUCCCUUUGGGAAGUCGGCGUUGGGGACCGGCAGCACACCGCCGGCCCUGAAAUGGAGUGGCGGCCCGUCCGCGGCGACCUCUGCGUAGUAAACCAACUCGCACCGGAACCCCGACGUGGCCACGCCGUAAAACACCCAACUUCUGAACGUUGACCUCGAAUCAGGUAGGACUACCCGCUGAACUUAAGCAUAUCAAUAAGCGGAGGA
RNAcentral lists this unclassified non-coding RNA (342 nucleotides) under soil metagenome. RNAcentral describes it as "partial contains 5.8S ribosomal RNA, internal transcribed spacer 2, and large subunit ribosomal RNA". The stretch from base 1 to 120 matches the Rfam family "5.8S ribosomal RNA", at positions 35 to 154 of the family's 154-position model. The record is from RNAcentral.